AACCGCCGGAUGCGGACCCGCUUGUCCGGUGGUGUGGCAGGGGCGCAGGAGGGCUGAACCUCCUGCCCCCUAUGCCGAU
RNAcentral lists this non-coding RNA (79 nucleotides) under Archangium gephyra. Lineage: Bacteria; Pseudomonadati; Myxococcota; Myxococcia; Myxococcales; Archangiaceae. The record is from RNAcentral.